UCCCUGGUGGCUCAGACGGUAAAGCGUCUGCCUACAAUGCGGGAUACCCGGGUUCAAUCCCUGGGUCGGGAA
RNAcentral lists this transfer RNA (72 nucleotides) under Bos taurus (domestic cattle). It matches the Rfam family "tRNA". Rfam says of the family: Transfer RNA (tRNA) molecules are approximately 80 nucleotides in length. Their secondary structure includes four short double-helical elements and three loops (D, anti-codon, and T loops). RNAcentral also lists the same sequence under 5 other names. The record is from Rfam by way of RNAcentral. Lineage: Eukaryota; Metazoa; Chordata; Mammalia; Artiodactyla; Bovidae.